RNAcentral lists this ribosomal RNA (405 nucleotides) under uncultured bacterium. RNAcentral's name for it is "partial 16S ribosomal RNA". It matches the Rfam family "Bacterial small subunit ribosomal RNA", at positions 28 to 526 of the family's 1533-position model. The record is from RNAcentral.
GAUGAACGCUGGAGGCGUGCCUAAUACAUGCAAGUCGAACGAACCGGGGACGGGUGAGUAACACGUGGAUAACCUCCUAUAAGACUGGGAUAACUUCGGGAAACCGGAGCUAAACCGGAUACUUAUACAUGGAUCCACGCUGCAUUAGCUAGUUGGUAAGGUAACGGCUUACCAAGGAAACGAUGCAUAGCCGACCUGAGAGGGUGAUCGGCCACACUGGAACUGAGACACGGUCCAGACUCCUACGGGAGGCAGCAGUGGGGAAUCUGCCGCAAUGGGCGAAAGCCUGACGGAGCAACGCCGCGUGUGUGAUGAAGGUCUUCGGAUCGUAAAACUCUGUUAGUAGGGAAGCGGUACCUAAUCAGAAAGCCACGGCUAACUACGUGCCAGCAGCCGCGGUAAUUC